GUCACUUUGGCCGAGUGGUUAAGGCGGUGCCCUGCGUAUGUACUCACCGAUCUUCAUAUAGCCAUCAACACUAACAGCCUCACUAGUAAGGCAUUACGUUCGCGUGCGUAGGUUCGAAUCCUGCAGGUGACG
RNAcentral lists this transfer RNA (132 nucleotides) under Beauveria bassiana ARSEF 2860. It matches the Rfam family "tRNA". From Rfam's summary of the family: Transfer RNA (tRNA) molecules are approximately 80 nucleotides in length. Their secondary structure includes four short double-helical elements and three loops (D, anti-codon, and T loops). Further hydrogen bonds mediate the characteristic L-shaped molecular structure. tRNAs have two regions of fundamental functional importance: the anti-codon, which is responsible for specific mRNA codon recognition, and the 3' end, to which the tRNAs corresponding amino acid is attached (by aminoacyl-tRNA synthetases). tRNAs cope with the degeneracy of the genetic code in two manners: having more than one tRNA (with a specific anti-codon) for a particular amino acid; and 'wobble' base-pairing, i.e. permitting non-standard base-pairing at the 3rd anti-codon position. Lineage: Eukaryota; Fungi; Ascomycota; Sordariomycetes; Hypocreales; Cordycipitaceae. The record is from Rfam by way of RNAcentral.